GAGGGGACGGUUCAGCGGUAGAGCGUGUGCUUAGCAUGCAUGAAGUCCAGGGUUCAAUCCCCAGUACCUCCA
RNAcentral lists this transfer RNA (72 nucleotides) under Camelus bactrianus (Bactrian camel). It matches the Rfam family "tRNA". From Rfam's summary of the family: Transfer RNA (tRNA) molecules are approximately 80 nucleotides in length. RNAcentral also lists the same sequence under 2 other names. The record is from Rfam by way of RNAcentral. Lineage: Eukaryota; Metazoa; Chordata; Mammalia; Artiodactyla; Camelidae.